Non-coding RNA from Peromyscus maniculatus bairdii (prairie deer mouse), 1503 nucleotides. The record is from RefSeq and is a predicted model, not a curated record. NCBI's taxonomy places the organism in Eukaryota, Metazoa, Chordata, Mammalia, Rodentia, Cricetidae.
CCUGAGAGGGGGAGGAGGCAGAGGAGGCAGAGAGCAGUGUCUCAAAGGCCUGGAUCCCGGUGGAGGCUCAUUCCCAGCAGACUGACAGCCUUUCAGGGGAAGGGUGGCUUUGGGGGUCUGGGCAGCAGAGCCUGUAUCUGGACAUAAUCCCUCAGUUCUCAACUCAGGGACAAAUGGACUCUCGGAAGUGAUGGAAGUUACUUUCCAGACAACUCAGCAAAAAUGCGACAACAAGAAAAACUUAUCUUUUGGCAUUCCCUCUGCCUCAAAUACUAACGCUCGGCCACUGCCUCACGUUUCCAUUUUCCUAUGUCUUCCCUUCAGAGUUAACUUUCAUCAAGACCUUAUUGUCCCCUAACCGGGCACAGAGGGGCACCCGAGCUGUUAGAAUGGCCAGGUCCCUGUACCAACUCCAGACUUUCCUUCUGCCAAGGAUGUCUGUCAUAUCCACACGAGCCAGGUCAGAAAGUGAACGUGGAGGAAAACCAUCGGUCAGGGAGAACUGUGGUCUUCUUACCCCCUGGACACCGGGCGGGAAGACGUAUUGGAUGACAAUGGUGCCGUACUUCUCAUAGCUGGGUAGCAGGAGGGUGGCAUCCUUGGAGACCAGCAUCCGCCCAUUCUGGGGCUGGUUGCCCACCAGCUGCCCGUAGAAGCGGCCACACAUGGGGCAGGCUUUCUUCACCUGCAGGGCCCUCGUGAUGCAGCCCUCACAGAAGGAGUGGCGGCACUUCUCCAGCGUCUUGGCGUUCUGGAUCUCCCCCAGGCAGAUGGGGCAGAUGCUCUCCUGCUCUUCAGCCCCCUCCCGAAGACGCGGAGGGAGUGGAGGGGGCAGGGGGGGAGGGGGAGGGGGGAGCCCGCGUGCUCCUGGGGGCAGGAGCGGGGCUGCCCGAAGAGGAGGCGGACCUGGGCGGUGCAGCUCAGGGUGCUCCCCACCACCCCCCAAAGCCAGGCAGCCCAUGAGCUCCCCCUGCCUCUGAGCUUUCUUCAGCUCUUUCUCGGCCUCUUUCAGUAGCCCCUUGAGAGCCUUGCGGGCCAGGUAGAGCCCAUUGGGAGGGGCCGGGGGAGGGCCCUGCGGGGAAAGCUGGAGCACGUAGAUGUCGGAAGUCUCUCCAUCGAUGAGGAUGGACACUCGGUGCUCCUCCCGGAGCCGGGCCAGCCGGGCUGGGGUCUCCUUGCUCAGGAAGUCCCACACGGGCUUGGAGACGGUCACUUUGUUCUUGCAGGUGCCUCCGCAGGCUGCCAUUCUGGACAGGACGAACGACACUGCCCCCAGGGUGAAGGGACUCAGAGUGGGGAGUCCCCACCUGACGCGCAGGCGCGCCUCCCACUCAGGUGCCUCCAAACCCCACAUCACCUCUGUUCCCCUCAAAGCCGCCCCCAACACCUCCCGCAAACUGGUUUGUUUGUUUGUUUGUUUGUUUUUCCAUUUCCCCUUCUCUCCCAUAGUCCCAGCACCUGCUGGGGAACUAGCUUCCCAUAUUUCAUUAUUAUCUAAGUCAA